Molecule: ribosomal RNA, 396 nt
Filed under: uncultured bacterium
Lineage: Bacteria
Description: bacterial SSU rRNA
Rfam family: Bacterial small subunit ribosomal RNA
Source: RNAcentral
AUUGAACGCUGGCGGCAUGCCUUACACAUGCAAGUCGAACGGCAGCACGGACUUCGGUCUGGUGGCGAGUGGCGAACGGGUGAGUAAUGUAUCGGAACGUACCUUUCAGUGGGGGAUAACGUAGCGAAAGUUACGCUAAUACCGCAUAUUCUGUGAGCAGGAAAGCAGGGGAUCGCAAGACCUUGCGCUGAUUGAGCGGCCGAUAUCAGAUUAGCUAGUUGGUGAGGUAAAGGCUCACCAAGGCGACGAUCUGUAGCGGGUCUGAGAGGAUGAUCCGCCACACUGGAACUGAGACACGGUCCAGACUCCUACGGAGGCAGCAGUGGGAAUUUUGGACAAUGGGGCAACCCUGAUCCAGCCAUGCCGCGUGAGUGAAGAAGGCCUUCGGUUGGUAAG